AGCUGCUGAACACUGCCCAAGAU
This 23-nucleotide microRNA is filed under the name Daphnia pulex (common water flea). RNAcentral's name for it is "Dpu-Mir-210_5p* (star (passenger))". The record is from RNAcentral. Lineage: Eukaryota; Metazoa; Arthropoda; Branchiopoda; Diplostraca; Daphniidae. RNAcentral also lists the same sequence under 1 other name.